This 491-nucleotide ribosomal RNA is filed under the name uncultured bacterium. Its description in RNAcentral is "partial 16S ribosomal RNA". It matches the Rfam family "Bacterial small subunit ribosomal RNA", at positions 29 to 506 of the family's 1533-position model. The record is from RNAcentral.
AGUGAACGCUGGCGGUAGGCCUAACACAUGCAAGUCGAACGGCAGCACAGUAAGAGCUUGCUCUUACGGGUGGCGAGUGGCGGACGGGUGAGGAAUACAUCGGAAUCUACUUUUUCGUGGGGGAUAACGUAGGGAAACUUACGCUAAUACCGCAUACGACCUACGGGUGAAAGCAGGGGAUCUUCGGACCUUGCGCGAUUGAAUGAGCCGAUGUCGGAUUAGCUAGUUGGCGGGGUAAAGGCCCACCAAGGCGACGAUCCGUAGCUGGUCUGAGAGGAUGAACAGCCACACUGGAAGUGAGAGACGGUCCAGACUACUACGGGAGGCAGCAGUGGGGAAUAUUGGACAAUGGGCGCAAGCGUGAUCCAGCCAUACCGCGAGGGUGAAGAAGGACUUCGGGUUGUAAAGCCCUUUUGUUGGGAAAGAAAAGCAGCAGGUUAAUACCCCGCUGUUCUGACGGUACCCAAAGAAUAAGCACCGGCUAACUUCGU